UUAAUAAUUAUAACGCACAGUAUGUGAAGUUAUUUAAACCAUAAUAAUAGUAGUGAUAAUAAUAAUGAUAAUGAUAAAUUAAAAUAGUAAUGAUAAUUACAAUAUAUAAAUAAUAGUAAUAUUGACAAUAAUAAUGAUCAAUAAUAAUAAAAAUAAUUGUCAUAGUAGUAUAUAAAAUAAUAUAUCUGGUACGUGGUAGUGGGUGAAUACAUACCUCGUGUUUCUAAUCUCUUUCAGAAUAUGAAAACCCGAAUAAACAUUAAAGACACAAAAUAUUACUUGAAACAUUAGGAUUAUUUGUUGAAAACGAGUUUAAAUUGACAGACGAACUCUUUUGAGAAAUUUAAAAUUUUUAGUAACUUAUUUUUUGACUAAGUUGACACUAAAAUUUCAUUUUUUUUAUAUUUUAUUAUAGUUUUUAAAGAAAAAUGCAGAGGUUGCUAAGCCAACCUUACUCAAAAUAUUGGCAGUGACUUUUCAAAAGAGUUGGCCGAUUAUGACAAAAAAAGAUUUUUUCCUUGGUGAUAGUCACGUGUUUUUUGCGAAAGUCGAAAUGUUAAAACUACUUCUAAAGGAUUGACAAAUAACAAGACAACAUAAAUUUAAUAAUUAAGUAAAGUUAUCUAAAAAAAGAGAUUCAAUAACAAGAGUUAGUAUCAUUCUAAAACUCAAUAUGACAAGUACAAAUUAAAUUCAAAGAAGAUAAGAGAUACUGGACUCCAUUUAGGAGCUUGGGCUUCUAAUUUCUGACUCCGAGGCUCUGGUGAUCCUAGUAGCGAUUGACCCAAUAUUUUUUAUCAAAACGAGUUCCGUUGUGAAACUCCAACUCCCGAGUGUACAUAUGAAAUAAGGAAAGAAAAUAAAAUUAGAGAGGGCAUGUAACUUCAUAAUUAGAAAGAAAGGUAUUCAGUGAACACAAUAAACUCAACAUGAAAAUACAUCAAAAUGAAUAGCUUGCAUUUAGCCUUUAUUCGUAUGCAGAUGAAGAUCAUAUUCUACACAAUAGACUAUUCUCAAAUAGAAUAUUACUAUUCGGCAAAUAGAUAUUCCUCAUUUCCUUUUAAACUCAGGGGAGUAAUAAACUUGAAUCAAAUUGGCCUAGACGAUAAUUCGACGGAAUAUUAGCGCAAGACUUCAGGUAAAUUCAAUUGAAAAGAAAUAAAAAUUGUUGGGUAUAGUCUCUUCAUCAUGUUAAAGGGAAUCAACACAAUUUAAUUUGAAUAUAUUUUCAUGUAGUAGCAAAUCCUAGCAAACAUAUACUACAUGACUGAUGACUUAAAUACCAUACCAAAAUCUACUAAAAUUAUUAUUAUUAUUAUUAAUAUACAGAUUCACAAUUUUUAUUCACACAUCAUGGAAGAUUAAUAGAUAGAUAAAAGAAAUGAGAUGCAAGACUCAUUUUAAGAUUACUACACCAAAAACUCAAAGAACUAGAAAAGCCAAAGAAAUAAUAACCUUAUAAAAAGCGAGAUGGCAAAAAUACAUGAAAGAAAUAUGAUUUGGAAUCUGCGGUGUAUUAUGCACGAAAACAGGGCAUAGAAGCACCCUUUAAUACUAGGCACAUACCAAACAAUAGUAGGCGACAAUUUCCUACCAAGUCUAGUAAAAAAUGCAUCUAUUCUUAAAAGAAAAGCUCAAUAAUCAAACUAAAAACCACAGAGGGGAAACAGGAGCUCGGAUCGUUGCCGAGACAACCAAACCAAGCACUCCCCUCAAACGUUACUACUUGCAAAUGGAAGUACCAGUGAACUAAACAUGGGAAAGAAAUCAAUUUUUUUUUAUAUAGCCGAAUCUCAUAAUUUUAGCACUCGAGUUUACAUGGGUUGCCAGCACAAAACACAUAUAGUCACGUAUUAGCCGAGAUUUUCUUUUUUAGAAUUCCCUGUUUGUCUAACCUAUGAUUUUUUUUUUUGCACAAAAACUUGAAAAAAAAAAAGCAACCACCCUUGAGAAUCAUGUUUAAUUUCAUGAAAAUUCUGGGAUCACUGAACAUGGAAAACAAACAUAUAGUACUAGUACAACAACUAUAUUCCUCAACUUCCAAUUUUCUACAACCAUUAUGGUAAAUACAAUUUUUUUCUUAAUAUGCUCGUUGAUUUUCUAAUUUUGAUGUAGUAUAUAAUUAGAAGCAGUAAAUAAAAAUAAACCAUGUUCAUCAAUUCCAGCUUUUUUUGGGUAGAACAAUAAUAACAUCAAAAGGGGAUAAGCAAACACACACGUUCUUUGAAGCGUAUCCGAUGAAAUUUGCACUAUUUGGUUUCCAAACGUCUCAAAACUAGGUUCAAAUCCGACUUUUCUGUUUUUUUAGGGAGGACAAAAUAUGAAGUAAAAUAUGACGAAAGGGGAUAAACUUCCAUCAAUUUACACAAACCUUUAAAACUAAAACAAUUUUCAGUUCUAAAAAAAAUAAAAGAAGUAAAACAAAGUCAAUCAAUUUUCAUAAACCUACACCUACACGUUGCUACUGUUACCCUACUAGAUCAAAGAAAUUUGUAAGUCUUGUUCAAGUGGCACCUCCCGACUUAUACGGACUAACACGGACACAUUUAAUAUAUGUUCAAGAACGUGACAAGUAGAAACAUAGAAUGGAAACUUUUGCAUUACUAGGACACUAAUGAGUGACUUCUACGUUCAUAUGAGAUAAGAGGAUGAACACGUCUUUUCCAAAAUAUUUCUUAUGACUAUACACAAAGUGCACACAUAGGAACGAGAAUGGGCAAUUUUGACGACUUCGGAUUUAAACAAAUACCGAAUUUGAACAUCCAAUAUUUUAAAAUAUAUAAUUCCUAAGCCAAAUAUAUGAAGACGUAGAAAAUCACCCUUUUUCAACAACCGACAAUAUAACACACCAUCGACAAAAGUUUCCAAUCUUUAUUUCCGAAGAACAAGACUCCCGACGACAUUCUCAUCCCUUUUUUAAAAAAAAACAAUAUCAUUCUAUUUGAAUCCUAACAUGAUUUCAGCUGACUUAAACACAAUCAUGAGGAAAGAAUUUGGUCGAGAGCGUCAUGUUUCUUUUCAAAAGAGGAUUCGCUUUGGUCAAAAUAGAACAAUAAACAACCCCAGGCAGAUUCAGAUGUACAGUAAAUAAAGUUGAAAUGGGAUAUUAAACUUCGUCAUGACCCAAAUUCGAAGCAGGGAACACCAACACUAAUAUGUCUUUGAAUCUAAAAUAACACAGACAAGCAUUUAUCGACCCAACACGUAACUUUCGAAAUCCAAAUCUGGAUUCAUUCACCAAGGACAGCUUAACUAAUGCAAAUUUAAACCAUAUCAUCCUUAAGUAAUUGCUUAGCAAAUAAAUAACAUAAAAUUGAAUUGAAACCACAACGAGGUUACAUAUUCACAUAUUUUAACGCGGGACACCAGUAGCCGAGACAAUUCUCAACGAAACCAAAGGCCUCAAGCUCAAAGCAAGGAAUACCAAUACUGAUAUAAACUUGACUCCGAAACAAACAACAUGUUCACAUAUUUACACUCAAAUUGAUAUAACUCCUCAAAACCAAAAUUAUAUUCAUCGGUAGAACAACGCAAUCUCAUUGAUCGUGAAAGCAAAAUCAUAUUUUCAUAGAACUAGAAAAAAAUCAAAAGGAAAGUCUCACACCUUUUCUGGUGCAACGAAACCGAGGCUUCAACGUCGAGUUCUUGGUGACUAUAAACUCAGCUAUGGGACUCCAAACUUGGAUCAAACAAAAGAAAACAACAAUUUUGAGACUUUUUGGGCGAAUUUCUUACUACGUGAACUCAAUUUCUCUCCGUUUUCCUUUUGUUUUUUCACUCUUCUUCAAACUCUCUUUUUCUCUCUCAAUUUUUUCUUUCUCCUCGACACCCAAAAAUCUGCCUCUACAAACCUUUUUGUUCGGCUAUUUAUAGGCCAAAAUUCAAACUUCAAAGUUUGAAUCAAAUUAAAGAAAACAUAGGGGGAAUUCAAAAUUUGAACCCCCCAAACUUCUGAAAAACGUCCAACUUGGAAGCCAUCAAUGGCGGAUUUGACCACAUCUUGACUUUUCCGCAUCAAAACAGUGCCCGUUUUUACAGUAAUAAUGGAUUCGGUGGAUUUUCGGGGUGGGGGAGAUGGGUUGCGCAAAGAGUAGGUGGAGUUUUUCGGCUAGCAUUUAACCUUUGGGUGGUGGAGAAUGGAGAAGGGAGAAGAUAAAAUAGAGAAGAAGAGGUGAAGGUCGAUGGUAUGGUUGUCUUUCUGGGAAAAGCUGAUUGACACUAUACACUGUGCUGCUUGGAAAAAUAACACGCGUGAU
This 4256-nucleotide long non-coding RNA is filed under the name Capsicum annuum. RNAcentral describes it as "long non-coding RNA (CANN_LNC001571)". Lineage: Eukaryota; Viridiplantae; Streptophyta; Magnoliopsida; Solanales; Solanaceae. The record is from RNAcentral.